Molecule: ribosomal RNA, 253 nt
Filed under: uncultured bacterium
Lineage: Bacteria
Description: partial 16S ribosomal RNA
Rfam family: Bacterial small subunit ribosomal RNA
Source: RNAcentral
UACGUAGGGGGCAAGCGUUGUCCGGAAUCAUUGGGCGUAAAGCGCGUGUAGGCGGCUGGCUAAGUCCGCUCUGAAAGCCCGGGGCUCAACCCCGGGAGGCGGGUGGAUACUGGUCAGCUCGAGUCCGGAAGAGGAGUGUGGAAUUCCUGGUGUAGCGGUGAAAUGCGCAGAUAUCAGGAGGAACACCGGUGGCGAAGGCGGCAUCCUGGACCGACACUGACGCUGAGGAGCGAAAGCCAGGGGAGCAAACGGG